RNAcentral lists this ribosomal RNA (270 nucleotides) under uncultured archaeon. RNAcentral describes it as "partial 16S ribosomal RNA". It matches the Rfam family "Archaeal small subunit ribosomal RNA", at positions 477 to 747 of the family's 1478-position model. The record is from RNAcentral.
CUGCAGCCCGAGUGGUGAUCGAUUUUAUUGAGCCUAAAGCGUCCGUAGCCGGACUAGUAAACCCUUAGGUAAAUUGGGCAGCUUAACUGUCCAAAUUCCGAGGGGACUGCUAGUCUUGGGACCGGGAGAGGUCAGAGGUACUCAAGGGGUAGGGGCUAAAUCCUGUAAUCCUUUGGGGACCACCAGUGGCGAAGGCGUCUGACUAGAACGGAUCCGACGGUAAGGGACGAAACCCUGGGGCGCGAACCGGAUUAGAGACCCGAGUAGUCC